ACGGGAGGCAGCAGUGGGGAAUAUUGCACAAUGGGUGCAAGAAGAAUCCAGCCAUGCCGCGUGAGUGAUGAAGGCCUUAGGGUUGUAAAGCUCUUUUAUCCGGGACGAUAAUGCCGGUACCGGAGGAAUAACCCCCGGUUAAUUUGGUCCCACCACCCGCGUUAAUCGGAAGGGGCCUAGCGUUGUUGGGAAUCAUGGGGGGUAAAGGGCGGGUAGGGGUCGUUUUAAUUCGGGGGGGAAACCCCGGGGUUCACCCGCGGAAUGCCCUUGGAUAUUGCGGCGCUGGAUUUUGGUGGAGGUUGGUGGAUUUCCGAGGGUAGAGGUAAAAUUGGUAGAUUUUGGCAAGAACCCCGGUGGGGAAGGGGCCCCAUUGGCCCAUUACUGCCGUUGAGGCGGGAAAGCGUGGGGACCAACCAGG
Molecule: ribosomal RNA, 418 nt
Filed under: uncultured Alphaproteobacteria bacterium
Lineage: Bacteria; Pseudomonadati; Pseudomonadota; Alphaproteobacteria
Description: bacterial SSU rRNA
Rfam family: Bacterial small subunit ribosomal RNA
Source: RNAcentral